UACGUAGGGGGCGAGCGUUGUCCGGAUUUAUUGGGCGUAAAGAGCGUGUAGGCGGCCAGGUAGGUCUGCUGUGAAAACUCGAGGCUCAACCUCGAGACGUCGGUUGAAACCGUUUGGCUAGAGUCCGGAAGAGGAGAGUGGAAUUCCCGGUGUAGCGGUGAAAUGCGCAGAUAUCAGGAGGAACACCCGUGGCUAAGGCGGUUCUCUAGUACGGUACUGACGCUGAGACGCGAAAGCGUGGGGAGCGAACAGG
Molecule: ribosomal RNA, 253 nt
Filed under: uncultured bacterium
Lineage: Bacteria
Description: partial 16S ribosomal RNA
Rfam family: Bacterial small subunit ribosomal RNA
Source: RNAcentral